This is a non-coding RNA of Meleagris gallopavo (turkey), 276 nucleotides long. Lineage: Eukaryota; Metazoa; Chordata; Aves; Galliformes; Phasianidae. The record is from RefSeq and is a predicted model, not a curated record.
AGAUUCAUCACCGCCUCUGAGAAAGAGGGCUGGGUCACCAGGUCAGAAAAAGCUGAGUAAAACAAAAGAUGCUUCCCACGUAGAAAAGCUCCAUCGUGACUCUGAUUCUCCACCUCCACGAAGGGGUACCCAAAAUGCCUCUGAGGCAGACCUUUCUCCCCAGCGGAAGAAUCACAGGGCUCUGCCUACUGGAAAGAGUCAGCGUGGUUCAAGGAGUCCCCCUGAUCUCUCACGUCAUCGGUACCCUGAUGAUAAGGGAUCUCCCCAAAAGGUAAG